AUUUGGCGGUGAUGAUACAACUUCUCAGCUUAACAUGCCAGUUCUGCUUCUGAGAAUUCAUGACAGAGAAAGCUGAUUUACAUCUGAGCCUUGU
This is a small nucleolar RNA of Phragmites australis (common reed), 94 nucleotides long. NCBI's taxonomy places the organism in Eukaryota, Viridiplantae, Streptophyta, Magnoliopsida, Poales, Poaceae. The record is from RefSeq and is a predicted model, not a curated record.